Stegostoma tigrinum is the source of this 524-nucleotide long non-coding RNA. RefSeq lists it as uncharacterized. The transcript is spliced from 3 exons. Lineage: Eukaryota; Metazoa; Chordata; Chondrichthyes; Orectolobiformes; Stegostomatidae. The record is from RefSeq and is a predicted model, not a curated record.
UCUGUUUACACAAGAGAUACCUCACACAUUUGCUACAACCAGCCUGAUUUGAAUUUCCUUGCUACUUAACACCGAUGUACAGCCGGCACUUUACAAACACUCAUAUCAAUCUGUGACUGAAUGACAACAGAAGAAAUCCUGAAAAUGUUGGAAACAUUUAAUAAAGGACCAUAAUACGUAUUUGAAACUUAGUAAAUUAAAUAAAAAUGAACAAAAAACAUGCCUAACUAUGGAUACCGAAAUCUAAAAGCAGCAAAAUAAAAGCUGUAACGGGCUGUGGAGGGGGUUGCUCUCACCGAGCUGCAAGAUUCUGCCUCUUCCCCUCAGAGAACCAACAAACUUCACGUGGACCCCCCAUCUCCUAAGGAAGUCUCACAGACCCCGAGAUGGAAAUACCUGCCUUGAAAUCCAUUGCUUUUCCCGCCUCCAAAAUACACUGUAUUCAUAAACUUUGUAAAAGUAUUGUGAAAAGUAUUCAACUUGAAUGUUACAGUAUUUGCAAUAAAAUUUAACUUCUCCAAUCA